GACGAACGCUGGCGGCGUGCUUAACACAUGCAAGUCGAACGGAAAGGCCCUGCUUUUGUGGGGUGCUCGAGUGGCGAACGGGUGAGUAACACGUGAGUAACCUGCCCUUGACUUUGGGAUAACUUCAGGAAACUGGGGCUAAUACCGGCUAGGAGCUCCUGCUGCAUGGUGGGGGUUGGACAGUUUCGGCGGUUGGGGAUGGACUCGCGGCUUAUCAGCUUGUUGGUGGGGUAGUGGCUUACCAAGGCUUUGACGGGUAGCCGGCCUGGGAGGGUGACCGGGCACAUGGGGACUGAGAGACGGCGCAGACGGCUACGGGAGGCAGCAGUGGGGAAUAUGGCACAGUGGGGGGAAGCCUGAGGCAGCGACGCCGGGUGCGGGAUGACGGCCUUCGGGGGGGAAACCGCUGUCGGCUGUGACGAAGCGGGAGUGACGGUAAUGGGUGAAGAAGCACCGGCUAACUACGUG
RNAcentral lists this ribosomal RNA (468 nucleotides) under uncultured bacterium. RNAcentral describes it as "partial 16S ribosomal RNA". It matches the Rfam family "Bacterial small subunit ribosomal RNA", at positions 28 to 507 of the family's 1533-position model. The record is from RNAcentral.